AUUUGCUGAAACUCAGGAACUGUGUGCCUAAAAUUUUGUUUUAUGUUGCUUCUGUCUCACAGGUUGGUUGUACAACUGGAGAACAGCUUCCAAAUUAAAAACAAAAAAUAUUCAGAGUAAUGCCCUCGAGACUGACAGCUUUGAAAGGCCUCCCCAACCACUCUCGGCCCGAUCUGGAUGCUGGCCCUGCUAGACUGCAGCUGGAAUUUCUCACUAAGUGGUCAGUGAAACUGAUUUCAUGGAUGUUUCAUGAUUUACAAAGUGAAAAGGAACUGAAGGGAGGGAACGGCCAGCCAGGCAGGCGGGGUGGUCAGGUCAGCCAAGCAGUAUCCUGGUUCCCAUAUGCUGUGGUUCUCCCCUCCACGCCCCUUCUCCCUGCAGCUCCUCUGGGCUGGGGCCCUGUGACUGCUGAGAAAAUCUGCUCGGGAGGCGCCAGCACAGUGAACCAGAGGGCCAGAGGGUUUUGA
RNAcentral lists this long non-coding RNA (467 nucleotides) under Felis catus (domestic cat). RNAcentral's name for it is "lncRNA (ENSFCAG00000044417.2)". The record is from RNAcentral. Lineage: Eukaryota; Metazoa; Chordata; Mammalia; Carnivora; Felidae.